RNAcentral lists this ribosomal RNA (253 nucleotides) under uncultured bacterium. Its description in RNAcentral is "partial 16S ribosomal RNA". It matches the Rfam family "Bacterial small subunit ribosomal RNA", at positions 524 to 776 of the family's 1533-position model. The record is from RNAcentral.
UACGUAGGGGGCAAGCGUUGUCCGGAAUCAUUGGGCGUAAAGCGCGUGUAGGCGGUUCGGUAAGUCCGCUCUGAAAGCCCGGGGCUCAACCCCGGGAGGCGGGUGGAUACUGUCGGACUAGAGUGCGGAAGAGGCGAGUGGAAUUCCCGGUGUAGCGGUGAAAUGCGCAGAUAUCGGGAGGAACACCAAUUGCGAAGGCAGCUCGCUGGGACGUUACUGACGCUGAGACGCGAAAGCGUGGGGAGCAAACAGG